CCAUGCAUUGCCGUUUGGUUAUAACAUACGACUCUCCCAAACCGCGACGAACUUGCAUCAAUAGAUUCAGCUGCGGGAUCGGCCAUUUAUUGGGGGGAUUUUCCUUAAUAGAUUUAAACGGGAUUCUCUCAAAAAAAACCCAAGGUUUUGGCCUUUUCCCUUUCACAAAAUCUUUGUGUUUCAUCAUCUGUUUUGUUUUAUUGC
Molecule: long non-coding RNA, 204 nt
Organism: Arabidopsis thaliana (thale cress)
Lineage: Eukaryota; Viridiplantae; Streptophyta; Magnoliopsida; Brassicales; Brassicaceae
Product: other RNA
Exons: 1
Source: RefSeq